UUCCGGUUGAUCCCGCCGGACCUGACUGCUAUCGGAUUGAUACUAAGCCAUGCGAGUCUUUGCAGUAAUGCAAGGCAUACGGCUCAGUAACACGUAGUCAACUUACCCUAUGGACGAGGAUAAUCUCGGGAAACUGAGCAUAAUACUCGAUAGAUCAUAAUGCCUGGAAUGGUUUAUGGUUAAAAUGAUUCGUCGCCAUAGGAUGGGACUGCGGCCUAUCAGCUUGUUGGUGAGGUAAUGGCCCACCAAGGCGAUUACAGGUACGGGCUCUGAGAGGAGAAGCCCGGAGAUGGGUACUGAGACAAGGACCCAGGCCCUAUGGGGCGCAGCAGGCGAGAAAACUUUGCAAUGUGCGAAAGCACGACAAGGUUAAUCCGAGUGAUUUCUGCUAAAGAAAUCUUUUGCAAGUCAUAAAACCACUAGUGAAUAAGGGGUGGGCAAGUUCUGGUGUCAGCCGCCGCGGUAAAACCAGCACCUCAAGUGGUCAGGAGGAUUAUUGGGCCUAAAGCAUCCGUAGCCGGCUCUGUAAGUUUUCGGUUAAAUCCAUGUGCUCAACACAUGGGCUGCCGAAAAUACUGCAUAGCUAGGGAGUGGGAGAGGUAGACGGUACUCGGUAGGAAGGGGUAAAAUCCUUUGAUCUAUCGAUGACCACCUGUGGCGAAGGCGGUCUACCAGAACACGUUCGACGGUGAGGGAUGAAAGCUGGGGGAGCAAACCGGAUUAGAUACCCGGGUAGUCCCAGCUGUAAACGAUGCAGACUCGAUGAUGCAUUGGCAUAUAGCCAGUGCAGUGUCGCAGGGAAGCCGUUAAGUCUGCCGCCUGGGAAGUACGUACGCAAGUAUGAAACUUAAAGGAAUUGGCGGGGGAGCACCACAAGGGGUGAAGCCUGCGGUUCAAUUGGAGUCAACGCCGGG
RNAcentral lists this ribosomal RNA (914 nucleotides) under uncultured marine archaeon. Its description in RNAcentral is "bacterial SSU rRNA". It matches the Rfam family "Archaeal small subunit ribosomal RNA", at positions 1 to 922 of the family's 1478-position model. The record is from RNAcentral.